UACAGAGGGUGCGAACGUUGCUCGGAAUUACUGGGCGUAAAGCGCAUGUAGGCGGGUCGGCAAGUCAGAUGUGAAAGCCCCGGGCUCAACCCGGGAACUGCAUCUGAAACUGCCGGUCUUGAGUACUGGAGAGGGUGGCGGAAUUCCUGGUGUAGAGGUGAAAUUCGUAGAUAUCAGGAGGAACACCGGUGGCGAAGGCGGCCACCUGGACAGUCACUGACGCUGAGAUGCGAAAGCGUGGGGAGCAAAC
RNAcentral lists this ribosomal RNA (250 nucleotides) under uncultured bacterium. RNAcentral describes it as "partial 16S ribosomal RNA". It matches the Rfam family "Bacterial small subunit ribosomal RNA", at positions 524 to 773 of the family's 1533-position model. The record is from RNAcentral.